UACGUAGGGUCCGAGCGUUGUCCGGAGUUACUGGGCGUAAAGGGCGCGCAGGUGGCGGUGUUGGCCCGGCGUGAAAGCCCCCGGCUCAACCGGGGAGGGUCGUCGGGGACCGCACCGCUUGAGGGCGGUAGGGGCUGGUGGAAUGCCUGGUGUAGUGGUGAAAUGCGUAGAGAUCAGGCGGAACACCCGUAGCGAAGGCGGCCAGCUGGGCCGUCCCCUGACACUGAGGCGCGAAGGCGUGGGGAGCGAACGGG
Molecule: ribosomal RNA, 254 nt
Filed under: uncultured bacterium
Lineage: Bacteria
Description: partial 16S ribosomal RNA
Rfam family: Bacterial small subunit ribosomal RNA
Source: RNAcentral